GACGAACGCUGGCGGCGUGCCUAAUACAUGCAAGUUGAGCGCUGAAGGUUGGUACUUGUACCGACUGGAUGAGCAGCGAACGGGUGAGUAACGCGUGGGGAAUCUGCCUUUGAGCGGGGGACAACAUUUGGAAACGAAUGCUAAUACCGCAUAAAAACUUUAAACACAAGUUUUAAGUUUGAAAGAUGCAAUUGCAUCACUCAAAGAUGAUCCCGCGUUGUAUUAGCUAGUUGGUGAGGUAAAGGCUCACCAAGGCGAUGAUACAUAGCCGACCUGAGAGGGUGAGCGGCCACAUUGGGACUGAGACACGGCCCAAACUGCUACGGGAGGCAGCAGUAGGGAAUCUUCGGCAAUGGACGAAAGUCUGACCGAGCAACGCCGAGGGAGGGAAGAAGGGUGUCGGAUCGUAAAACUCUGUUGGUAGAGAAGAACGUUGGUGAGAGUGGAAAGCUCAUCAAGUGACGGUAACUACCCAGAAAGGGACGGCUAACUACGUG
RNAcentral lists this ribosomal RNA (497 nucleotides) under uncultured bacterium. Its description in RNAcentral is "partial 16S ribosomal RNA". It matches the Rfam family "Bacterial small subunit ribosomal RNA", at positions 28 to 507 of the family's 1533-position model. The record is from RNAcentral.